RNAcentral lists this ribosomal RNA (484 nucleotides) under uncultured bacterium. Its description in RNAcentral is "partial 16S ribosomal RNA". It matches the Rfam family "Bacterial small subunit ribosomal RNA", at positions 28 to 507 of the family's 1533-position model. The record is from RNAcentral.
AUUGAACGCUGGCGGCAUGCUUUACACAUGCAAGUCGAACGGCAGCGCGGGCUUCGGCCUGGCGGCGAGUGGCGAACGGGUGAGUAAUGCAUCGGAACGUGCCCAGUAGUGGGGGAUAGCCCGGCGAAAGCCGGAUUAAUACCGCAUACGACCUGAGGGUGAAAGCGGGGGACCGAAAGGCCUCGCGCUAUUGGAGCGGCCGAUGUCGGAUUAGCUAGUUGGUGGGGUAAAGGCUUACCAAGGCGACGAUCCGUAGCUGGUCUGAGAGGACGACCAGCCACACUGGGACUGAGGAACGGCCCAGACUCCUACGGGAGGCAGCAGUGGGGAAUUUUGGACAAUGGGGGCAACCCUGAUCCAGCCAUGCCGCGUGCGGGAAGAAGGCCUUCGGGUUGUAAACCGCUUUUGUUCGGGAAGAAAUCCUCUGGGCUAAUACCCCGGGGGGAUGACGGUACCGGAAGAAUAAGCACCGGCUAACUACGUG